CCAGACUCCUACGGGAGGCAGCAGUGGGGAAUAUUGCACAAUGGGGGAAACCCUGAUGCAGCGACGCCGCGUGAGUGAAGAAGUAUCUCGGUACGUAAAGCUCUAUCAGCAGGGAAGAAAAUGACGGUACCUGAUUAAGAAGCCCCGGCUAACUACGUGCCAGCAGCCGCGGUAAUACGUAGGGGGCAAGCGUUAUCCGGAUUUACUGGGUGUAAAGGGAGCGUAGACGGUUAUGCAAGUCUGAAGUGAAAGCCCGGGGCUCAACCGUGGGACUGCUUUGGAAACUGUAAAACUGGAGUGCAGGAGAGGUAAGCGGAAUUCCUGGUGUAGCGGUGAAAUGCGUAGAUAUUAGGAGGAACACCAGUGGCGAAGGCGGCUUACUGGACUGUAACUGACGUUGAGGCUCGAAGGCGUGGGGAGCAAACAGGAUUAGAUACCCCAGUA
Molecule: ribosomal RNA, 444 nt
Filed under: uncultured bacterium
Lineage: Bacteria
Description: bacterial SSU rRNA
Rfam family: Bacterial small subunit ribosomal RNA
Source: RNAcentral